CUUCCAGUCAGUCAUGAAGAGAGACCUGUGUGUCAAACAGGAAAUAUAUUCAGUGGAUGCUUUCAAGGCGUCAGGAAUCCUGACUAACUGUCAGAAAGGUCCUUGAUGAGAAUAAAAUGGCAAGAGGCAAUGGUACCACAGUGACAGAAUUUGUCCUCAUGGGAUUCACAG
This 171-nucleotide long non-coding RNA is filed under the name Fukomys damarensis (Damara mole-rat). Its description in RNAcentral is "lncRNA (ENSFDAG00000033631.1)". Lineage: Eukaryota; Metazoa; Chordata; Mammalia; Rodentia; Bathyergidae. The record is from RNAcentral.